GAUGAACGCUGGCGGCGUGCCUAAUACAUGCAAGUCGAGCGAACAGAUGAGGAGCUUGCUCCUCUGACGUUAGCGGCGGACGGGUGAGUAACACGUGGAUAACCUACCUAUAAGACUGGGAUAACUUCGGGAAACCGGAGCUAAUACCGGAUAAUAUAUUGAACCGCAUGGUUCAAUAGUGAAAGACGGUUUUGCUGUCACUUAUAGAUGGAUCCGCGCCGCAUUAGCUAGUUGGUAAGGUAACGGCUUACCAAGGCAACGAUGCGUAGCCGACCUGAGAGGGUGAUCGGCCACACUGGAACUGAGACACGGUCCAGACUCCUACGGGAGGCAGCAGUAGGGAAUCUUCCGCAAGGGGCGAAAGCCUGACGGAGCAACGCAGCGUGAGUGAUGAAGGUCUUCGAAUCGUAAAACUCUGUUAUUAGGGAAGAACAAAUGUGUAAGUAACUAUGCACGUCUUGACGGUACCUAAUCAGAAAGCCACGGCUAACUACG
This 495-nucleotide ribosomal RNA is filed under the name uncultured bacterium. RNAcentral's name for it is "partial 16S ribosomal RNA". It matches the Rfam family "Bacterial small subunit ribosomal RNA", at positions 28 to 505 of the family's 1533-position model. The record is from RNAcentral.